GUAGAUAUAGUUUAACAAAAAUAUUAGAUUGUGAUUCUGAAGACAGAGGUUGAAACCCUCUUAUCCACC
RNAcentral lists this transfer RNA (69 nucleotides) under Mugil cephalus (flathead mullet). RNAcentral's name for it is "tRNA-His". It matches the Rfam family "tRNA". Rfam says of the family: Transfer RNA (tRNA) molecules are approximately 80 nucleotides in length. The record is from RNAcentral. Lineage: Eukaryota; Metazoa; Chordata; Actinopteri; Mugiliformes; Mugilidae.